Molecule: long non-coding RNA, 1109 nt
Filed under: Oreochromis niloticus (Nile tilapia)
Lineage: Eukaryota; Metazoa; Chordata; Actinopteri; Cichliformes; Cichlidae
Description: lncRNA (ENSONIG00000038312.1)
Source: RNAcentral
GGACAUGUUUCCAUAAUUGGUUGGAGAUCAUUAUGUAGGAUUGUUGACAAAAGUUGUGGUUUGUGUCUUGCGAUCACUGGUAGCCCCUCCCAGUAGCCACUGAUGUAAGUGGGGUCAUCAAAUUUUUCGUCCCAUGGUGGUGCCAACUUUUUUGUUUGUGGCUCUUGAUUGUUGAUAGAAAACACCUAAUUGUCACACAGAUUUCUUUAAAAGUGAGAACUUCACAUAUCAAUCUGCUUUCUUUAGUUGUUGUCCAAGUAAGUUUGGGGGCUGUAGCUUACCCCAGCUGAGAUUAUGUGAAAAGCUGGGUACACUUUGGACAGGAAAGAGGAAACCAUGAAAAUAUUCAAUUACACCUUGGACGGGUAUAUUGGAUAAGCAGUCACCAGGCUAACACACAGAACAAGACAAGCCCUCACAUUCAAAAUCACACCUUUGGGCAAUUUCGAUUCACCACUAACUGCAUGUCUCUGGACUGUGGAAGGAAGGUGGAGGACCCGGAGAAAAGGUUGCAGCCAAGACCUUCUUACUGUCAGGCAACACUCAAAGGUCCAUUAUGAGUUUAAAUACAGGCUUGGAGAAUGGCUACUCCUGCACCCCUCUGCAAGUUUAUGAAUUCUCCAUGAGGACACAUCGACCACCUUCUACUUGUAGUCCAGACACUGACUCCGAGCUUCAGCUGAUCAAAGAGCCAAUUAAUGCUGGCAGCGGUAUGCGCACAGUGUUGCAGUGCAAAUCAAUGGCAUACUAAACUGCACAGGCACAAAGACUUGGUGAACUAGACAAGACAAACAGUGUCAGGUACUGCUGGAGUCACUCCGAAUUACCUUCUGUUGGUAUUUACAUGGUCUCUUUUAUUUUAUUUUAUUUUAUUAUCAUUUUAUUUAAAAUGAAGGUUUUUGGAUUACUGGACCCAUACAAGUACUUUUCAUGUCCUGGUGACCAUUGAAAUUAUAGUUUAUUCUGAUGAUACUUCAACAUAAUUGCAAGAUGAAUCCGCAGUGAUGUUUCAAAAUCACUGUCAAGAAGCCAGAGUUGCUUCUAGAAAGAGUUUUUCUUUGUCAGGCUGUCCACUGUGACUGUCUUGUGUUGACGAAGGCAAACACUAA